This 254-nucleotide ribosomal RNA is filed under the name uncultured bacterium. RNAcentral's name for it is "partial 16S ribosomal RNA". It matches the Rfam family "Bacterial small subunit ribosomal RNA", at positions 524 to 776 of the family's 1533-position model. The record is from RNAcentral.
CACGGGGGGAGCAAGCGUUGUUCGGAAUCACUGGGCGUAAAGGGUGUCUAGGCGGUCAGGUAAGUGAGAUGUGAAAUGCCCCGGCUUACCCGGGGACCUGCAUCUCAUACUGCCUGGCUUGAGUAUGGGAGAGGAUGAGGGAAUUCCUGGUGUAGCGGUGAAAUGCGUAGAUAUCUGGAGGAACACCGGUGGCGAAGGCGGCAUCCUGGACCAACACUGACGCUGAGUGAGCGAAAGCCAGGGGAGCAAACGGG